This 74-nucleotide transfer RNA is filed under the name Candidatus Doudnabacteria bacterium RIFCSPHIGHO2_01_FULL_46_24. RNAcentral's name for it is "tRNA-Pro". It matches the Rfam family "tRNA". From Rfam's summary of the family: Transfer RNA (tRNA) molecules are approximately 80 nucleotides in length. Their secondary structure includes four short double-helical elements and three loops (D, anti-codon, and T loops). RNAcentral also lists the same sequence under 2 other names. The record is from RNAcentral. Lineage: Bacteria; Candidatus Doudnaibacteriota.
CGGGCUGUCGUAUAGUGGUAGUACGCGCCCAUGGGGUGGGUGUAGUCUGGGUUCGAUUCCCAGCAGCCCGACCA